CAACGUCAGUAUAGCCGCGGCAGCCGAAGCGACCUGGUCAUCGGGAGCGACUUCGAUAGUAGCGCGUACAUCGGGCUAAGAAUCAGUACGCAGUUACUGCUGUUCUGUUUUGUUGGAUUUCCUCCGGUCACGUUUCAAACUUACCUUAAAAAAAAUCGUACGAAUCUUUUACAUGUAAAUCCGGUUUCCAGUUCUGAUUUAGUGAUAACUCGGGAAGAAGUGUUCAGUUUGAUCUACAUGUUCGUAAAAAGUGCUUAACAAUCAGUAGAUACAAAAAGACCUAUAUCAUUGGGAGUUUCGUGAAUUCUGUAGCUCGGAAAUUUUUCCAUGACCGGUGGUGCGCAGUGUCUUUGUAUCGUGACCAUCACGUGUCGAUGCUCCCGAACGGUCCGCGAUUCGUCUCGAUGAAUUUGAGGCUUUCAAUUGGUCAUCAUGGUCGCUAAUUCGUCGUAGUACUUAUACAACUUCCAACCACGAAAGGCAGAGGUUACAUGGCAUCGCACAAUUCGUUUACAGGUACUCUGAGAUGCUGUCGCCGCAGUUAUGACCCCCUGGACUUCCCCUGUUCAUCAGGGGGAGUCCAGGGACCCGUCCCCUGGGACUGCGCGGCCUCCCACCGCCCCCGGGGUCCCAGGGGACCCAGUCCCCGAGGACAUG
Molecule: long non-coding RNA, 657 nt
Organism: Athalia rosae (coleseed sawfly)
Lineage: Eukaryota; Metazoa; Arthropoda; Insecta; Hymenoptera; Athaliidae
Exons: 3
Source: RefSeq, a predicted model, not a curated record